CAAAGAGAAGCGAAGCGGUGACGUGGAGCAAACCUCAGAAAGCCAAUCUCAGUUCGGAUUGUAGGCUGCAACUCGCCUACAUGAAGUUGGAAUCGCUAGUAAUCGCGAAUCAGAAUGUCGCGGUGAAUACGUUCCCGGGUCUUGUACACACCGCCCGUCACACCACGAGAGUUUACAACACCCGAAGUCAGUGGCCUAACCGUAAGGAGGGAGCUGCCUAAGGUGGGGUAGAUGAUUGGGGUGAAGUCGUAACAAGGUAGC
This 261-nucleotide ribosomal RNA is filed under the name uncultured bacterium. Its description in RNAcentral is "partial 16S ribosomal RNA". It matches the Rfam family "Bacterial small subunit ribosomal RNA", at positions 1240 to 1500 of the family's 1533-position model. The record is from RNAcentral.